Molecule: ribosomal RNA, 460 nt
Filed under: uncultured bacterium
Lineage: Bacteria
Description: partial 16S ribosomal RNA
Rfam family: Bacterial small subunit ribosomal RNA
Source: RNAcentral
CCUACGGGAGGCAGCAGUGAGGAAUAUUGGUCAAUGGACGAGAGUCUGAACCAGCCAAGUAGCGUGAAGGAUGACUGCCCUAUGGGUUGUAAACUUCUUUUAUAAAGGAAUAAAACGAGGCACGUGUGCCUUUUUGCAUGUACUUUAUGAAUAAGGAUCGGCUAACUCCGUGCCAGCAGCCGCGGUAAUACGGAGGAUCCGAGCGUUAUCCGGAUUUAUUGGGUUUAAGGGGAGCGUAGAUGGGUUGUUAAGUCAGUUGUGAAAGUUUGCGGCUCAACCGUAAAAUUGCAAUUGAUACUGGCAGUCUUGAGUACAGUUGAGGUAGGCGGAAUUCGUGGUGUAGCGGUGAAAUGCUUAGAUAUCACGAAGAACCCCGAUUGCGAAGGCAGCUUACUAAACUGUGACUGACAUUGAUGCACGAAAGCGUGGGUAUCGAACAGGAUUAGAUACCCCUGUAGUC